CCCCGGUAAACGGCGGCCGUAACUAUAACGGUCCUAAGGUAGCGAAAUUCCUUGUCGGGUAAGUUCCGACCUGCACGAAUGGCGUAAUGAUGGCCAGGCUGUCUCCACCCGAGACUCAGUGAAAUUGAACUCGCUGUGAAGAUGCAGUGUACCCGCGGCAAGACGGAAAGACCCCGUGAACCUUUACUAUAGCUUGACACUGAACAUUGAGCCUUGAUGUGUAGGAUAGGUGGGAGGCUUUGAAGUGUGGACGCCAGUCUGCAUGGAGCCGACCUUGAAAUACCACCCUUUAAUGUUUGAUGUUCUAACGUGGACCCGUAAUCCGGGUUGCGGACAGUGUCUGGUGGGUAGUUUGACUGGGGCGGUCUCCUCCUAAAGAGUAACGGAGGAGCACGAAGGUUGGCUAAUCCUGGUCGGACAUCAGGAGGUUAGUGCAAUGGCAUAAGCCAGCUUGACUGCGAGCGUGACGGCGCGAGCAGGUGCGAAAGCAGGUCAUAGUGAUCCGGUGGUUCUGAAUGGAAGGGCCAUCGCUCAACGGAUAAAAGGUACUCCGGGGAUAACAGGCUGAUACCGCCCAAGAGUUCAUAUCGACGGCGGUGUUUGGCACCUCGAUGUCGGCUCAUCACAUCCUGGGGCUGAAGUAGGUCCCAAGGGUAUGGCUGUUCGCCAUUUAAAGUGGUACGCGAGCUGGGUUUAGAACGUCGUGAGACAGUUCGGUCCCUAUCUGCCGUGGGCGCUGGAGAACUGAGGGGGGCUGCUCCUAGUACGAGAGGACCGGAGUGGACGCAUCACUGGUGUUCGGGUUGUCAUGCCAAUGGCACUGCCCGGUAGCUAAAUGCGGAAGAGAUAAGUGCUGAAAGCAUCUAAGCACGAAACUUGCCCCGAGAUGAGUU
RNAcentral lists this ribosomal RNA (893 nucleotides) under Salmonella enterica. Its description in RNAcentral is "partial 23S ribosomal RNA". It matches the Rfam family "Bacterial large subunit ribosomal RNA", at positions 1918 to 2810 of the family's 2925-position model. RNAcentral also lists the same sequence under 1 other name. Lineage: Bacteria; Pseudomonadati; Pseudomonadota; Gammaproteobacteria; Enterobacterales; Enterobacteriaceae. The record is from RNAcentral.